Paramuricea clavata is the source of this 219-nucleotide non-coding RNA. Lineage: Eukaryota; Metazoa; Cnidaria; Anthozoa; Malacalcyonacea; Plexauridae. The record is from the annotation of a GenBank genome assembly.
UCCGAGGGAUCUGAUGGAUCCGAGGGAUCUGAUGGAUCCGAGGGAUCUGAUGGAUCCGAAGGGAUCUGAUGGAUCCGAUGGAUCCAAUGGAUCUGAUCCAUCAGAGGGAUCUGAUGGAUCCGAGGGAUCUGAUGGAUCCGAGGGAUCUGAUGGAUCCUAGGGAUCUGAUGGAUCCGAUGGAUCCAAUGCAGAUCCCUAGGAUCCAUCAGAUCCGUCGGA